AGUGAACGCUGGCGGUAGGCCUAACACAUGCAAGUCGAACGGGAGCACAGUAAGAGCUUGCUCUUACGGGUGGCGAGUGGCGGACGGGUGAGGAAUACAUCGGAAUCUACUUUUUCGUGGGGGAUAACGUAGGGAAACUUACGCUAAUACCGCAUACGACCUACGGGUGAAAGCAGGGGAUCUUCGGACCUUGCGCGAUUGAAUGAGCCGAUGUCGGAUUAGCUAGUUGGCGGGGUAAAGGCCCACCAAGGCGACGAUCCGUAGCUGGUCUGAGAGGAUGAUCAGCCACACGGGAACUGAGACACGGUCCAGACUCCUACGGGAGGCAGCAGUGGGGAAUAUUGGACAAUGGGCGCAAGCCUGAUCCAGCCAUACCGCGUGGGUGAAGAAGGCCUUCGGGUUGUAAAGUCCUUUUGUUGGGAAAGAAAAGCAGCAGGUUAAUACCCCGCUGUUCUGACGGUACCCAAAGAAUAAGCACCGGCUAACUUCGUG
RNAcentral lists this ribosomal RNA (492 nucleotides) under uncultured bacterium. Its description in RNAcentral is "partial 16S ribosomal RNA". It matches the Rfam family "Bacterial small subunit ribosomal RNA", at positions 29 to 507 of the family's 1533-position model. The record is from RNAcentral.